AACGAACGCUGGCGGCAUGCCUAACACAUGCAAGUCGAACGAGACCUUCGGGUCUAGUGGCGCACGGGUGCGUAACGCGUGGGAACCUGCCCUUAGGUUCGGAAUAACUCCCCGAAAGGGGUGCUAAUACCGGUUAAUGUCUUCGGACCAAAGAUUUAUCGCCUUUGGUUGGGCCCGCGUUGGAUUAGCUAGUUGGUAGGGUAAAAGCCUACCAAGGCGACGAUCCAUAGCUGUUCUGAGAGGAUGAUCAGCCACACUGGGACUGAGACACGGCCCAGACUCCUACGGGAGGCAGCAGUGGGGAAUAUUGGACAAUGGGCGAAAGCCUGAUCCAGCAAUGCCGCGUGAGUGAUGAAGGCCUUAGGGUUGUAAAGCUCUUUUACCCGGGAUGAUAAUGACAGUACCGGGAGAAUAAGCUCCGGCUAACUCCGUG
This 433-nucleotide ribosomal RNA is filed under the name uncultured bacterium. Its description in RNAcentral is "partial 16S ribosomal RNA". It matches the Rfam family "Bacterial small subunit ribosomal RNA", at positions 29 to 507 of the family's 1533-position model. The record is from RNAcentral.